RNAcentral lists this ribosomal RNA (526 nucleotides) under uncultured bacterium. RNAcentral describes it as "bacterial SSU rRNA". It matches the Rfam family "Bacterial small subunit ribosomal RNA", at positions 20 to 518 of the family's 1533-position model. The record is from RNAcentral.
UGGCUCAGGACGAACGCUGGCGGCGUGCCUAAUACAUGCAAGUCGAACGGUCUUUCUAUGGAAGCUUGCUUCCACUGAGAAGAUAGUGGCGAACGGGUGAGUAACACGUGGGUAACCUGCCCAUAAGAGGGGGGAUAACAUCCGGAAACGGGUGCUAAUACCGCAUAGUUUUCUUGAUCGCAUGAUCGGGAAAGGAAAGACGGCCUUUGUGCUGUCGCUUAUGGAUGGACCCGCGGCGUAUUAGUUAGUUGGUGAGGUAACGGCUCACCAAGACGAUGAUACGUAGCCGACCUGAGAGGGUGAUCGGCCACAUUGGGACUGAGACACGGCCCAAACUCCUACGGGAGGCAGCAGUAGGGAAUCUUCCGCAAUGGACGAAAGUCUGACGGAGCAACGCCGCGUGAGUGAAGAAAGGUUUUCGGAUCGUAAAACUCUGUUGUCAGAGAAGAACAAGUUGGAGAGUAACUGCUCCAGCCUUGACGGUAUCUGACCAGAAAGCCACGGCUAACUACGUGCCAGCCGCAGC